Molecule: long non-coding RNA, 541 nt
Organism: Pieris napi
Lineage: Eukaryota; Metazoa; Arthropoda; Insecta; Lepidoptera; Pieridae
Exons: 4
Source: RefSeq, a predicted model, not a curated record
UGAUUACAUUAGGAAUUAAAAAUACCUAAUUAUAAAAUCUUUGAUUCGGGAAGUUUCUUUCCGUUCCGAUCAAUAACAUACGUACAAUUUUAUGUUUAUUUGAUUUACUAGUAAAACCAAUUCCUAUGUUACGACAUCUGUGUUUUGUUAUAUGUUUAUUUAUCUACGUAGACGCAAACUAUGUAAAUAAAACUAUGACAAAACCUGGACGUGUAAGGUUCUAUCCACGAAAUUCAGUAUUUCGAAAGUCCGACCUCAUUGACAGAGGUUGUUCUGUGUUCUUAAAGGAAUGCCCAGCAGCUUACAAGAGAAAUACAGUAUGCGCCCGACACUAUGAUGGUCAAUACAAAACAUUUUCGAAUUAUUGCGUGCUUGAAUAUGAAAAUUGUAAUGCAUGGAGACAAUGGAGUAUGGUGAAAAAUGAGCGGUGUUGAUUGCUUUUUUAAAUUGUUAAGUAUUUCUUAUCUCGUAUAUAUAUCAAAAUAUUUUUUUUAAUUACUAAAACAAAUUCCUUUCAUAAAUAAUACAAUAAAUAUUUUAU